CAAAUAUUUAUAUUCAAAAACGGAGGAAGUACACUAUAAGUAACUUUAUUUUAAUUACUUUUAUUUUAAUUUUCAAUGUAAUUGUUAUCUAGCCUAGUGAACUACGGUGGUAAUUUUUCAUAUCUGUGACGUUACUAUUUGUCUUUAUUUGGCACGUAUGCAUAUAUAGGUUAGGUGGCGAUCGUGGUCAGGAUGGUAUGACUGCGAAAUUGUUUAUAUAAAUUUAUUUAUUUUGUCUUUUCGCUAUAAUAUAUAGGCAACGGUGAAAUCUAAAAGUUGUUGGGCCACCCUCUCACCCUAGCUCUGAGGCUUCAUGGGUUACAUUGAAGCUAAGCGUUAUGUUGUGUUUGUGUAUUUCACUAAAUUAUAUAAUCAUAUAACAUACUCCAUCAAAAUUCCAUUUUUUUAAAUCAAAUCAUAAAUAACCCUUCAUAAUACUGAUUUUGUUAAAAAAUAUAGCAUCAGUGAAUUUCAUGGUCCGUACGUCUAACGUAACAUGAGUCUUUUCUGUGUGGCUUCUUCCAAGAUGGUACUGUAAGAGCAACUCUAGCGGACCCUGUAUAAUCAUGACCUGCAAACGCGUUUUGCAGUUCGACGAAGUGGGGUUUUGCGGGACGAAAAGUUACGCUGCAGAACAGAACCCGCAUAAUGAAACUGCAUAAUUUGAAAAAUAAACAUUCGCGGGGAAAUUGGAACCAUAGUCAUGAUCAUACAACACUACAUUCAAUACUAGAGGGGGGCAUCACCUACUCGACCUCAUCGGAGCUCACCAGAUCUACUACCUAUCCUACCGCACUACGCAAAAUGGAGCUCACCGAAGUCGAGCUCGUGCAGUAGUAGAUAUCCUAC
Molecule: long non-coding RNA, 849 nt
Filed under: Hordeum vulgare
Lineage: Eukaryota; Viridiplantae; Streptophyta; Magnoliopsida; Poales; Poaceae
Description: long non-coding RNA (HVUL_LNC020170)
Source: RNAcentral